RNAcentral lists this ribosomal RNA (460 nucleotides) under uncultured bacterium. RNAcentral's name for it is "SSU rRNA". It matches the Rfam family "Bacterial small subunit ribosomal RNA", at positions 26 to 518 of the family's 1533-position model. The record is from RNAcentral.
AGAAUCAACGCUGGCGGCGUGCCUAACACAUGCAAGUCGCACGAGAAAGGGACUUCGGUCCUGAGUACAGUGGCGCACGGGUGAGUAACACGUGAAUAAUCUACCUCCGAGUGGGGAAUAACUGAGAGAAAUCUUAGCUAAUACCGCAUAACACUUACGAGUCAAAGCAGCAAUGCGCUUGGAGAGGAGUUCGCGGCAGAUUAGUUAGUUGGCGGGGUAAUGGCCCACCAAGACGAUGAUCUGUAUCCGGCCUGAGAGGGCGCACGGACACACUGGAACUGAAACACGGUCCAGACUCCUACGGGGGCAGCAGUGAGGAAUUUUCCGCAAUGGGCGCAAGCCUGACGGAGCAACGCCGCGUGCAGGAAGACGGUUUUCGGAUCGUAAACUGCUUUUCUCGGGGACGAGAACGGACGGUACCCGAGGAAUCAGCCCCGGCUAACUACGUGCCAGCAGCCGC